ACAAAGCUUUUAGUUCUUCCAAACACUAAUACUUUACUAGACACACCCACACAGAAACACAGAAAUGGCGGACAAGGGAAUGAAUGUGAAGGAUACAGGAGGAGAGACAAGCGGCGAGAAAUCGACACAGAAGCUAGGAAGCGUGAUCCCAAAACCAAGGAAGCAUGUGUCCCAGAUGAUGGGAGAGAAGAUUAGUGGAGCAUUUUCUUCUGGUGUUAAAAGUAUCCAGAACAAGCCCAAGAUCAAUCCAGAUGCUGGUGGUAACUGAAAUGAUAUAUGGGAUGUUGGUGUCACUAUUGAUCUACCAUUCAAACCGUUGAUUAUAUAUGUUCGUGAUAUUGGUGUACUUGCUUUGAUGUCGUAAACUUUUAUCACUAUGGUCGUCCUUAUUGUUAGCAAUCACUUGUUGUUGCUGUAAUAAUCUUAUAUCUUUAUGUGUUAGAUAUCUUCAAG
This 453-nucleotide long non-coding RNA is filed under the name Coffea arabica (coffee). Its description in RNAcentral is "long non-coding RNA (CARA_LNC007250)". The record is from RNAcentral. Lineage: Eukaryota; Viridiplantae; Streptophyta; Magnoliopsida; Gentianales; Rubiaceae.